RNAcentral lists this ribosomal RNA (440 nucleotides) under uncultured bacterium. Its description in RNAcentral is "partial 16S ribosomal RNA". It matches the Rfam family "Bacterial small subunit ribosomal RNA", at positions 338 to 795 of the family's 1533-position model. The record is from RNAcentral.
CCUACGGGCGGCAGCAGUGGGGAAUAUUGCACAAUGGGGGAAACCCUGAUGCAGCGACGCCGCGUGAGUGAAGAAGUAAUUCGGUAUGUAAAGCUCUAUCAGCAGGGAAGAAAAUGACGGUACCUGAGUAAGAAGCCCCGGCUAACUACGUGCCAGCAGCCGCGGUAAUACGGAGGGGGCAAGCGUUAUCCGGAUUUACUGGGUGUAAAGGGAGCGUAGACGGUAGGGCAAGUCUGGAGUGAAAGGCGGGGGCUCAACCCCCGGACUGCUUUGGAAACUGUACGGCUGGAGUGCAGGAGAGGUAAGUGGAAUUCCUAGUGUAGCGGUGAAAUGCGUAGAUAUUAGGAGGAACACCAGUGGCGAAGGCGGCUUACUGGACUGUAACUGACGUUGAGGCUCGAAAGCGUGGGGAGCAAACAGGAUUAGAUACCCUUGUAGUC